GUACAAUCAAUUUCUCAUGGCUUGCUAUGAUCCUGACACUGAUGAAUACCAAAGUGUCUGUCGUGUAAUGUCCGGCUUCUCUGAUGCGUUUUGUAUAGAGAUGAGAAAUGGUUAAAUCUCUUGAUGUUGAAGAUGGUUAUCUCCCGUCAAAGCGUUCGGAUUCUUGGUUAAAGGUGAAGUGAAAUUAUGUCGAAGGUUUAAAUGAUUUCUUGGGCUUGGUUCCUAUUUGUGCUUGGUACGGGAAUGGAAGGAAUGUUGGAUG
This is a long non-coding RNA of Helianthus annuus (common sunflower), 262 nucleotides long. RefSeq lists it as uncharacterized. The transcript has 3 exons. NCBI's taxonomy places the organism in Eukaryota, Viridiplantae, Streptophyta, Magnoliopsida, Asterales, Asteraceae. The record is from RefSeq and is a predicted model, not a curated record.